AUUGAACGCUGGCGGCAGGCUUAACACAUGCAAGUCGAGCGGUAGCACAGGGGAGCUUGCUCCCUGGGUGACGAGCGGCGGACGGGUGAGUAAUGUCUGGGAAACUGCCUGAUGGAGGGGGAUAACUACUGGAAACGGUAGCUAAUACCGCAUAACGUCGCAAGACCAAAGAGGGGGACCUUCGGGCCUCUUGCCAUCAGAUGUGCCCAGAUGGGAUUAGCUAGUAGGUGGGGUAGUGGCUCACCUAGGCGACGAUCCCUAGCUGGUCUGAGAGGAUGACCAGCCACACUGGAACUGAGACACGGUCCAGACUCCUACGGGAGGCAGCAGUGGGGAAUAUUGCACAAUGGGCGCAAGCCUGAUGCAGCCAUGCCGCGUGUGUGAAGAAGGCCUUCGGGUUGUAAAGCACUUUCAGCGAGGAGGAAGGUGGUGAGCUUAAUACGUUCAUCAAUUGACGUUACUCGCAGAAGAAGCACCGGCUAACUCCGUG
Molecule: ribosomal RNA, 490 nt
Filed under: uncultured bacterium
Lineage: Bacteria
Description: partial 16S ribosomal RNA
Rfam family: Bacterial small subunit ribosomal RNA
Source: RNAcentral